RNAcentral lists this ribosomal RNA (208 nucleotides) under uncultured Anaerolineaceae bacterium. RNAcentral describes it as "partial 16S ribosomal RNA". It matches the Rfam family "Bacterial small subunit ribosomal RNA", at positions 1175 to 1382 of the family's 1533-position model. Lineage: Bacteria; Bacillati; Chloroflexota; Anaerolineae; Anaerolineales; Anaerolineaceae. The record is from RNAcentral.
UGGGAUGACGUCAAGUCAGCAUGGCCUUAUGUCCUGGGCUACACACACGCUACAAUGGCCAGUACAAUUGGUAGCUAAGCCGCGAGGUGGAGCCAAUCCGUAAAAGCUGGCCUCAGUUCAGAUUGUAGGCUGCAACCCGCCUGCAUGAAGAUGGAGUUGCUAGUAACCGCAGGUCAGCAAUACUGCGGUGAAUACGUUCCCGGGUCUU